RNAcentral lists this ribosomal RNA (460 nucleotides) under uncultured bacterium. RNAcentral's name for it is "partial 16S ribosomal RNA". It matches the Rfam family "Bacterial small subunit ribosomal RNA", at positions 338 to 795 of the family's 1533-position model. The record is from RNAcentral.
CCUACGGGAGGCAGCAGUGAGGAAUAUUGGUCAAUGGGCGUAAGCCUGAACCAGCCAAGUCGCGUGAGGGAUGAAGGUUCUAUGGAUCGUAAACCUCUUUUAUAAGGGAAUAAAGUGCGGGACGUGUCCCGUUUUGUAUGUACCUUAUGAAUAAGGAUCGGCUAACUCCGUGCCAGCAGCCGCGGUAAUACGGAGGAUCCGAGCGUUAUCCGGAUUUAUUGGGUUUAAUGGGUGCGUAGGCGGCCUUUUAAGUCAGCGGUGAAAGUCUGUGGCUCAACCAUAGAAUUGCCGUUGAAACUGGGAGGCUUGAGUAUGUUUGUGGCAGGCGGAAUGCGUGGUGUAGCGGUGAAAUGCUUAGAUAUCACGCAGAACCCCGAUUGCGAAGGCAGCCUGCCAAGCCAUGACUGACGCUGAUGCACGAAAGCGUGGGGAGCAAACAGGAUUAGAUACCCUAGUAGUC